UUGUUUUUUUUUUUUUUGCGAUUUCUGGACACGCGGGGACGUUGGGCCACUUUUAUUUUAUUUUAUUUUAUUUUUUCCCCGCAUUCCCACGCCGGGAAGGAAAAGCACGCGCGUCGUGGGGUGGCCCAGACGGAGGGGUAAAAGUCUUCAGCAGUUGAUUUCACCCUGUUACGUAGCUGAUGGUGAUAAGAGCCUUGUUCUGCCUUAAAAAAAACAAAACAGCUGAAGUUACUGGCUUGUCCUUUAAGGAAGUAGGGCAAAGCACAGAGGCCCGGUAUGGGAUAACUGAGAACUUAGACAUCAAUAUGUCUACUUUUAUGUGCUCCAGUUUAUCACCUUUACUACCCAGGGAAUGUGCAGGAGCCUUCAACACCACAGCUUAACUUCAAGAAUGGAUCGGUUCAGGUUUUUUCUCCUUCCAACUCAUGGUGUCAUCCUGAACAAAGCAUCAUCGACUCACACCGAGGAAAAGAUUUCGCCCAGGAAAUAGCUACAUUGUGGUUUCUUAGGCAACUACCUACAAAAUCAUUUUCAAAAGACAGAAGGCUGUUAUAGAAGGCAACACGUUGUACCGAAUUACUUCGUUGUUCUUCGUAUUUGUUUUGCUUCCCGUCAAAAACAUGUUCAUUUUUGGCACUUAAAAUUCCCUUUAAAAUACUUUAAAACUUUAGGAUUGGUUGAUCAUUGGAUGAAAAGUUGACCGGAAUUUCAGUGAAAUCAUCAAGACUGAGUGAUCCUGCAGGAACAAGAAUACAUCCUAAUCACAUUAACUUAAUUGGUGAGCAAUCCUGAAACAAAAAUGACCUAUAAUUUAAAACUAUUCCACCUGGACAUUUCUUAAACCUGUUCUGUUGAUUUUCUCCAAUAACAAUGCCAUGAAUAGGAAAUUCAUUCUAGAAUUCUACCACAUUUGCAAUUCAGAAGUUUAUCCUAAUCACCAUGCUAAAACAUUUGGCUACAACUUGGGCCUACUGUUUCUUUUCUGCAAAUGGUCACAUAUAUUAUUCAUAUACUAAGUCAGCCCAUCAGUUAUUUAAUUUUUUUUCUCAAUCUUUUCCAAACCGAACGGAUGGGUUCUUAGACUUACCUUAAAAAGGCAUUUGUUGUGGUUCAGGAGUACAUGUCACCAUGUAAUACUGCUCACCCUGGAGAUGUAUUCAUCUGCGUUGUUGACCUUUAUAUAAAACAAGUUAUGGCAGUCCAGUGGAAGAAGUUUCUUGUUAGUAGUUGGAAGGAGAGAUGCCACCGUUUUGGAGUAUGAAGAAUAAUAAUUUUAAACUCUGAAGAUAGCCGUCAGUUUUGGUCAUCUUGUAAACAAACUCACAACAAAGACAACCAGGAUUCUUUUUAAACCUCUUCUGCCAAAGUCAGAACUCCAAAAUGAAGAAAAAUGUGUAUUUUCUUCUCAGCUGCUUUAGGUUUGCCAGAAAAGAAUUCUACCAAAACCGUUGUUGCUAUUAUUACACAAUACCGUAGGAGUCAAAAGAGAGAAAGCUGCUAAUAAUAAGGGUAGGCGGGAAUUGUGCUGGGGUCAAACCCCAUUGCCAAUCCUGAUUUUAUAAAGACCAGGAUACCAGCUGAAGCUCUAUAAGAUGCUGGGUGAGAAGAUUUUAUGCUUUCUCUUGGUUUAGUAUCAUUGCUUUGUGUUCAAGGCUAAAUAGCUGGAAUUUUUCUCCUGUCAAGUCGAACACCGGAGGGUGUCAGCAUUUUAUGUAAGAUUCAGAUAAAAUUUGGUAUUUUGGGAAUUGCCAUCUGUGCUCUUUUUAUAUAAGGAAGGUUUGCUGCCAAGACUUGUGUACAAUCUUGUUAAGAUUCAGCCUUGGUGGGGGGGGGGAGGGAUUUGUUUGAAAAAUAAUGAUAUGGCUAUGUGAUUGUAAUAUCUUAAGUGAAUUGCAGUGCAAAGUUUGCUAUUAUUUGUAUCCGUCUCCUCUUUUAGCACCUUCAGCAUUGCUCCUAAAUAUUUUCGGAGAAUCUUAGAAACCCAUAGGAAAAGAGCUGAGCUGGGUUUAUACUGUAGUGCAGGUAGUCCUCAACUUACAACACUUUGUUUAGUGACUGUUCAAAGUUACAAUGGCACAGAAAAAAGGGACUUAAGCCCUUUUUCACGCUUAUCACCAUUGUGGCAUCCCCAAGGUCACGUGAUCAAAAUUCCUGAUGCUUGGCAACUUAUAUUUAUGAUGGUUGCAGUGUCCCUGGGAUCAUGUGAUCACCUUUUACAACCUUCUGACAAAAUCAUUGGGAAAGCCAGAUUCACUUAAUAACCGUGUUACAGCCUUGACAACUGCAGUGAUUCACUUAACAACUGUGGCAAGAAACAGUGUAAAAUGGGGCAUAAUUCACUUGACAAUUGUCUCGCUUGGCAACAGAAAGUUUGGGCUCCAUUGUAAGGAAGUCCGUAAGUCAAGGGCUACCUAUAUAGCAAAACCCAAAACCUAAAAAAAGAAUAUACUGGUGAUUUGUACCUUAUUUUUCCUUGUUGUCUGUUGAAGGACAAGGAACUCUUACUUGUUCUUACCUGGAUAUUAUUUGCUUCAGAGGCUCUUACCUGCAUGCCCUGAAUUUCAGAGAUGGGGUGAAAGAUCUUUUUAUGGUUUAAAGGUAAAGGUUCCCCUCGUUUCUAACUC
Pantherophis guttatus is the source of this 2624-nucleotide non-coding RNA. The record is from RefSeq and is a predicted model, not a curated record. NCBI's taxonomy places the organism in Eukaryota, Metazoa, Chordata, Lepidosauria, Squamata, Colubridae.